AAGUCAGAGGUGAAAUCUUGCAGCUCAACUGUAAAAUUGCCUUUGAUACUGGUAGACUUGAGUCAUUGUGAAGUGGUUAGAAUGUGUGGUGUAGCGGUGAAAUGCAUAGAUAUCACACAGAAUACCGAUUGCGAAGGCAGAUCACUAACAAUGUACUGACGCUCAUGGACGAAAGCGUGGGGAGCGAACAGGAUUAGAUACCCUGGUAGUCCACGCCGUAAACGAUGGAUACUAACUGUUCGACCUUCGGGUUGAGUGGUUAAGCGAAAGUGAUAAGUAUCCCACCUGGGGAGUACGCUCGCAAGAGUGAAACUCAAAUGAAU
Molecule: ribosomal RNA, 323 nt
Filed under: uncultured bacterium
Lineage: Bacteria
Description: bacterial SSU rRNA
Rfam family: Bacterial small subunit ribosomal RNA
Source: RNAcentral